UUCCUGGAGGAUGGGUGGUUAGGCCUUGGUGCUCUCACCACCGUAGCCCGGGUUCGAUUCCCAGCCAGGGAA
RNAcentral lists this transfer RNA (72 nucleotides) under Pangasianodon gigas (Mekong giant catfish). RNAcentral describes it as "tRNA-Glu". The record is from RNAcentral. Lineage: Eukaryota; Metazoa; Chordata; Actinopteri; Siluriformes; Pangasiidae.